GAUUCCCCUAGUAACUGCGAGUGAAGCGGGAAAAGCUCAAAUUUAAAAUCUGGUAGUCUCUGGCUGCCCGAGUUGUAAUCUAGAGAAGCAUUAUCCGCGCUGGACCGUGUAUAAGUGUCCUGGAAUGGACCAUCAUAGAGGGUGAGAAUCCCGUCUUUGACACGGACUCCCAGGGCUUUGUGAUGUGCUCUCAAAGAGUCGAGUUGUUUGGGAAUGCAGCUCUAAAUGGGUGGUAAAUUCCAUCUAAAGCUAAAUAUUGGCGAGAGACCGAUAGCGAACAAGUACCGUGAGGGAAAGAUGAAAAGAACUUUGGAAAGAGAGUUAAACAGUACGUGAAAUUGCUGAAAGGGAAACGCUUGAAGUCAGUCGCGUUGGCUGGGGAUCAACCUUGCUUUUGCUUGGCUUACUUCCCAGUUGACGGGUCAGCAUCAGUUUUGACCGGUGGAUAAAGGCUAGGGGAAUGUGGCACCUWCGGGUGUGUUAUAGCCCUUGGUCAU
Molecule: ribosomal RNA, 497 nt
Filed under: Termitomyces sp. DKA-2007
Lineage: Eukaryota; Fungi; Basidiomycota; Agaricomycetes; Agaricales; Lyophyllaceae
Description: eukaryotic LSU rRNA
Rfam family: Eukaryotic large subunit ribosomal RNA
Source: RNAcentral